Glycine soja is the source of this 805-nucleotide long non-coding RNA. RefSeq lists it as uncharacterized. NCBI's taxonomy places the organism in Eukaryota, Viridiplantae, Streptophyta, Magnoliopsida, Fabales, Fabaceae. The record is from RefSeq and is a predicted model, not a curated record. The transcript is spliced from 2 exons.
UGUAUAAUAUAUCAGCUGACAUACAAAUGUCAGAUGUUAUUUGCAGCAAAUGUCAUAUAUACUGUACAGUUAUUUUCGGUGUUUUUCUGAAACCAAUGGAGGAUAUCUCUGCCAUGCUGCCUUUAAGCUUAGUUGAAUCUUAUUGCUAUUCUCUCCUUGUAUUUUGCUUAUCAGUUCUACUUCCUCUAUUUAUUAAUUAUUGGUUAAUCUUUCUUCCAGGACUUUUGUGGGGACAAAUUUAAGUCCUUUGUGGGAAAGGUUCCUGGCUCCAUCAGAAGGUAAUCUAACACCUGACUUUCAAAAUGAAGCUGCUUUGAUGUCCAAUAAAAUUAUCAAGAAAGGAUCAAGGGGAUGGGGGUUGAGUUAUUGAAAAUUUAAGGCAGUAGGAGGGUAGCUGUCUUCGGUUUCCUUGCUUGGAUGCAGUGGAGUUUCCCUUUGUGUCUGAAAAUAUGUAGAUCUCGCUCUUCUCUCUGUUCCCAAGUACAGGAGAUAUUACUGGAUCCUGAAAUCAUUAGCCAUUUGGGAACUUGAGCAUUCAUCAUCGUAUAGCUGUCCAAUUCCAUAACUCUUAGUACAGUAACCCAAUAACAGAGGCGCUCCAAUCUUCAUUCAAGUUAUAACUGUUUUAGGUCCUGCCUUCCUCCUUUGUACCUUGUUUGAAUUGGAUUGUGUUCCAUUUUUUAAUCAGAAAAUAUUCAGAAAGGGUAAAGGAUGUAAAAUUGUUGCCUUUUUUAUGCCUCAAUUGUCAUGUAGGUUCAUAGAAUUGCUAAACAAGGGAAUAAGAAACAAGGAGUAGUAUUGCAUA